Molecule: ribosomal RNA, 450 nt
Filed under: Bacillus subtilis
Lineage: Bacteria; Bacillati; Bacillota; Bacilli; Caryophanales; Bacillaceae
Description: bacterial SSU rRNA
Rfam family: Bacterial small subunit ribosomal RNA
Source: RNAcentral
GUGCCUAAUACAUGCAAGUCGAGCGGACAGAUGGGAGCUUGCUCCCUGAUGUUAGCGGCGGACGGGUGAGUAACACGUGGGUAACCUGCCUGUAAGACUGGGAUAACUCCGGGAAACCGGGGCUAAUACCGGAUGGUUGUUUGAACCGCAUGGUUCAGACAUAAAAGGUGGCUUCGGCUACCACUUACAGAUGGACCCGCGGCGCAUUAGCUAGUUGGUGAGGUAACGGCUCACCAAGGCGACGAUGCGUAGCCGACCUGAGAGGGUGAUCGGCCACACUGGGACUGAGACACGGCCCAGACUCCUACGGGAGGCAGCAGUAGGGAAUCUUCCGCAAUGGACGAAAGUCUGACGGAGCAACGCCGCGUGAGUGAUGAAGGUUUUCGGAUCGUAAAGCUCUGUUGUUAGGGAAGAACAAGUGCCGUUCAAAUAGGGCGGCACCUUGACGGU